UACAUGUUUUAGGGUUGGAAAGUCGUCUUUGCCUUGACCGUUUUUGAAACCAGUCGAUCCAGCGACGACUAUGUUCAAGAGUGGCCUCAUCCCCAGCGGCCUCGCGCUCUCGCCGGCGCCCCCACCUCCUCUCCCCGCAGCGCCGCCGGCCCCACCUCCUCCCCGCCACCACCUCCUCUCCCGCGCCCCCGCCGGCCCCACCUCCUCCGCCACGGCCUCACCGCCCCGUCGGCGCUAGUAGGGAGGGAACACGGUGGCGGUGGAGGGGGUCGGGGUUGGGUCGCUGGGCCGGGGCUGGAGUCGUUGGUGGCGGGAGGAGACCGAGCGCGGCGUAAUGGUAGGCAGAUACGUUUAGAUGUGUUCUUUCCGUAUUUGGAAUACAUAGAAACGUUCGUAAAUGUAUAACCGUUCCGGCUACCACUCUUCACAUUCAUGGACUCACUACGACAAAGCACCUUAUACGGGUCGGUGCACCUUCGUUGUUGAGAUAAAGUUCCGACACAGCACGUCCAAGACUAGUACGUUGACCGAAUGGUCAUGUGGCGGUUCCCCCGUACGGAACGGGACCAUCGUUCCUCCCUCACCUCGGACACCGUCCAGCGGCUGGCGCGGAAGCUCGAGCCGCGCGUCCUGCACUAGUAAGAGGGGCCCCUGUAGCGUCUGGGGCUGCUGAUGUUGUCUAAACAAGUCCGGUGUUAGCUGGUCAUGUCGGUUACAUUCAGUCGGGGAGAGGCAAUGUUGAUU
This 744-nucleotide ribosomal RNA is filed under the name Triticum aestivum (bread wheat). RNAcentral describes it as "partial small subunit ribosomal RNA". Lineage: Eukaryota; Viridiplantae; Streptophyta; Magnoliopsida; Poales; Poaceae. The record is from RNAcentral.